RNAcentral lists this long non-coding RNA (1439 nucleotides) under Sorghum bicolor (sorghum). Its description in RNAcentral is "long non-coding RNA (SBIC_LNC003539)". Lineage: Eukaryota; Viridiplantae; Streptophyta; Magnoliopsida; Poales; Poaceae. The record is from RNAcentral.
CUGCGUGAGCUGAGUGAGGAUAAUUGUAUUAGUAGUUGGUACAGCGAUUUGGGCGAGAUUCCUUUUGCAAAUCCCUCCUGCUGGCACAAUUACCAGGAGUGAGAUUCCCAUGUUACUACUAGCUUUUUGGACGACAGCGAGAGGCGUCCUGCUAGCAGCUUUACAGUUUUACAGUAGUACUACCGUUUCUAGGACGAGAGAGAGAGAGAGAGAGGAAAACCCCUGCCCCUGACAAUACAGCGGGACUGGGCGAGAGUUCCGUUUGGACAAUUUUUUUAAUGUUAAUUAAUUCUGGGAGGACCGCUCGACUCUUUCUUUUUGAAACCCACCACUGAGCCUAGGCAUGAUAAGAAGAAAUAACAAUUGAGAGCUCAAGGAUGGUUCAUGGAAGCAAGGUGGUUAGCCUGAAAUUGGCUGCACCUGGCCCGAGUCUAAUUCAUAGACAUACUUAACUUAGAAGGCUACUACCAAGUUAUUGAGCCUAACUCAACUUAAAAAACUACUACCAUGAAGUCAAAGAGAAUUGUGCGGACCUUGGCAGGUGGGCCUAGACUUACCUGGCUCACUGUACUCAAGAGCUAAAGUCUACUAAGCUCAUGUCUAGGUCCACCUACCAAGGUCUUAGGCUUAACUCAACUUAAAAGACUACUGCCUCGAAGGUAAGGGUUGUUCCUACCUUAUAUGUUGUGCUCUGCCACUAUUAAUAUUCGAUGUCAAACUAAAUCUUAUAUAUGUAACUCUACACGUAAAAAAUAGUCAAACAAUUUGGCAUAAAACAUCUAGUUCUAAGGCAAGCCUACUAGAUAAACCAAUAAACAUUUUCUUUAGCCCAACAAACUACUACAUACAAAAUUAACUGACGCGGGUAGAAGAGCUUAACAGAGGCGUUUUGGCGAACUACCUCGGAUUAAAGGUCACGGUUAAUAGGAUUUUUUCCGAGGCGGUUUGAUGCCCACCUCGACUAAUAAAAUAAAAAAAGAAAAAACAGUGGAUAAGCCUAGCACUCAUGGGCCCGUUGAACCCAUCCACACCGCCGCAUCCAUCGCUCGCUAGAGGAGCAUUAGAGGAGGAGAGGUGCCGCCGUAGCUCGCUGCAUCCGGCCAUUAAUUUAUAAAAUCACACUUUUAUAAAAGUUAAUAAGCUCAGCCAUUAAUUAAUUAAUACAUAUAAAGUAGUAAUUUUAGGUUUCUAGCUCCUACCAAACUUUGUUUCAAACAUAUGAUGGUAUCAUCUACAUAUUGCAAGACGCAACACCAACUUAACCGAAUGAUCAAUCAACUCACUUAUUAAGCCAUUUUCUUGAGCUUUAUGAAUCAUUCUAGCUAACCAUCAGCAACAAAAUCAAUAAAAUUGGUGAGAAGGGCCAGGGUCACCCUGCCUCACACAUUUGUAAUAACUCUUAAUAUAUGGGCUAGUGAGUGGUUGGAUAUUUAUACCCC